AUCUUCCUUUGUCAAACCGCCAAUUCUCCCGUGACAUGCCAUAGCUUCCAAUCUUCAACCGCUUCUUGAAUUUCUCUUCUCAUCUAGCUUCCAUAAUGGCUCUCUUCUCUUUUACACCUUCAAUAAAGAGAUGUAAAGAAUCUUAAGUAUAUGCCAUAAGAAUAUAAGCUUAGUAUGAGUAAGAUAGAUAAAAUGAACUAGCUUUUCAAGACUAAGUUCCAUUUAAUCAACAAAUAAAAUUCAGAAUUUAAACAUGUAAAUUCAAGAUUAAUCAUGCUAUAAAUCCGGUUUAUUUAAAUUCAAUACCAAUGGCAAAUAACAAAUUAAAUUCCAGAUUUUAAUCAUGACAAUUUAAAUUGUAAGCUAAUCAUA
RNAcentral lists this long non-coding RNA (372 nucleotides) under Arabidopsis lyrata. RNAcentral's name for it is "long non-coding RNA (ALYR_LNC000023)". Lineage: Eukaryota; Viridiplantae; Streptophyta; Magnoliopsida; Brassicales; Brassicaceae. The record is from RNAcentral.